AGCGUCAGGAAAGAAAAAAAAAAUUCUUGUUCAGUGUAAAGUUGAACAAGAAUUUGAUCAUCCAUAAUGGAAGCCUCUGCCGGAGUUUUACGCCGAUUUCCUUCAGUCACCGGCGCCGGUGUCGGAGUUAGCAGCAAUCCGUUGAAUCGUAGUUGUAGUGUUUCACGUGUUAGUUUGAAAUCAAUGGGUUGUGGGUUUUACGAUGAGGGUUGUUUGGAGUAUUAUUCAUCUGGUAGAGGUGGAAUUAUUAGGUGUGGGAAGAAGAAGAACAAAGAGAAGGAUAUGGCGGAGUUGAAGAAAACGAAGAAGAAGAUGAAAUUACUUAAGGGUUUGACGAAGAAUUUGUCGAAUUUGAAUGGGAUGGGAUUAGGGUUCGGUUGUGAUGUUGAUUUGGUUGAUCAAGUUCAAGGGAAGACAAUUUCGGAGGCGGCGGAGCUAUUGUUGGGACAGCUUCAACAGUUGAAGGCAGAGGAGAAGGAGUUGAAGAGGAAAAGAAAAGAAGAAAAAGCACAAAUGAAGAUGAAAGUAGCAGCAAGUGAAGUGCAGAGCAACACAAGGAGCUGUGCAAUGUCAUCAUCUUCAAGCUCGUCUUCAGAAUCGAGUGAUUCAAGUGAUGAUGAAUGUCAAAAUUUGGUUGACAUGAAAAGCCUGAAAAUCGGAACACUUGCUCAAACAAUUCCUGAAGCGUGUGAUCGAGCACUUGAUAAUGCAACACUAAACCCUUCCCUUUCAACUCCAGAAGUCGAUACAACAGUAGAGAUCUCAAGCAUGCCAUCAACUACCACGGAGGAAUCAACUGGGAAGACGACAAGUUUUGAGUUUUCAGUCCCUGAACAAAAAGGCGAAUGCUGCUUGGAAGCUAGUGAUUGUCACAUUGGCAAUGUAGGCAGCAGUAUCACACCAGGCACUAGGUCUAAUGUAUCAUCUAUAGCAGCAGCUACAACGACAACAGCAGAGGGUACAAAGAGAAUCGAAGUAUGUAUGGGUGGUAAAUGCAAGCGAUUGGGCGCUGGAGCGUUACUAGAAGAAUUCCAACGCGUUGCUGGGAUUGAAGCUGCAGUCUCUGGUUGCAAAUGCAUGGGAAAGUGUAAAGUUGGUCCUAAUGUCAAAGUUUCAGGGUGUAGCAGCAGCAGCAUCUCGGACGCCUUCCAAGCCGGUGACUCGGUUGCUGUUAGCUCUGCUCCAACUACAAGUAACUCUCUAUGUAUUGGGGUUGGUUUAGAGGAUGUGAGUCUAAUUGCAGCCAAUUUACUUGGCAGAUAUCAAGAAGUAGGCUUGGCCAAUGCUUUGCCUUAAAUCUUUUUUUCUUUCAUUAGCAAUAUAGUAGGUAGGUUUUUUUGGGAUUUUG
This 1348-nucleotide unclassified non-coding RNA is filed under the name Hevea brasiliensis (rubber tree). Lineage: Eukaryota; Viridiplantae; Streptophyta; Magnoliopsida; Malpighiales; Euphorbiaceae. The record is from RNAcentral.